Long non-coding RNA from Pipra filicauda (Wire-tailed manakin), 339 nucleotides. RefSeq lists it as uncharacterized. The transcript has 4 exons. NCBI's taxonomy places the organism in Eukaryota, Metazoa, Chordata, Aves, Passeriformes, Pipridae. The record is from RefSeq and is a predicted model, not a curated record.
ACAUAAAGUUCUUUUAAAAUCUGGACAAAAGUUCCUGGAAAAGUAAUCUAUUGCUAUACUUUUAUUAUGAAAGCCUAAUUAGUGCAAAAGUUAGUUCCCUGCUGGAUCUAUACAUGCCACUGUAUGCCUUUUUCCUCUACUGGUCUGUAGUUCUCAGGCUGCAAUCAGGCCCCUACUCCUUCAGCUAAAAAUAAACCCAGAGAGAUCUUUUGUACACAGAGGAGAGAGACUUCCUCAAGAAGAACUUUAUAUCAAUUGCUCAGGAUCUCAUCCUCUAGAGACUGGUGUGGUGGAUGACAGCAACACGAGCAGAGGUUUAUGAUGGCUCUUGCAGUACCU